UAGAAGGAAGAAUCUGAAAUCAGGAUUAUCUGUGUUGUAUUUACAGAAACACUCUUAAAUACAAUUCAUUGCAAAAAAAUUGCCUUCAGAAGUCACCCAAUUAAUAUAGAACGCACCAAAUAGGUGGCAGCAUCAUGCUGUGGGGAUGCUUUUCUUCUAAGGAAAAUACAUGAGAAGCUACAAAAGAGCUGAAACUCCAGUUUAAAUCCAUAUAUCCACUUUCAUAAAUAUGCAUGUCAUGUUGGCCUGUCGCAUAAAAUCCAAAUUAAAUGCAAGAAAGUUUGUGGUUUUAAUGUGAUGAAUUGUGAAUAAAUUCAAGGGGAAUGAACAGUUUUACACGCUACUGAAUGCUGAUGGUUCUCAUACAAGUGAGGAGGCAGGGGUAUGAAGUGCAAAGGUCAACUCCAAGGCUCCUAGUCACUCACUGACCGAGCACUUUACAAGAUACUCUGCGCAGACAAAGGAAAGAUUUGUUCCAAGAUUUGUAAAGGCAACAUUGCCGCUAACAGAGUGAACUAUUUGCUAAGCAUGUCUUCUGGUAAACAGUUACCAGCUGCCACAUAUCCACUUCUAUCCACUUCUCCCCACUUUGAUAGACUUCGCUGGUGAUUUGAUGAAGUUUGUCUGCGGCUGAAUCAACAAGCAAAGCUUAUUCUUGUUGACUAACCCUGUCUGACCGCGACGCGUAAGCUGCCAUAUCCCUGCCUACCUUCCUUUUGUUUGUCACCGAGUUUGUUUUAUUGUCUUAAGAAACGUUUAUAUUUUUAACAUUUUGAGGUUAUUUGUAUGCUUAGAACUUGGGGGAAAAACAAAAUGGUUAUGAAGACUGUCCUUCCAUGGAAUAUGUAAUGGAGAAUGGUACAAAUUAAUAACCACUUUGUUAUUAAAACUGAUUUCUGAAAACUAAAA
Long non-coding RNA from Poecilia latipinna (sailfin molly), 909 nucleotides. RefSeq lists it as uncharacterized. The transcript is spliced from 3 exons. The record is from RefSeq and is a predicted model, not a curated record. Lineage: Eukaryota; Metazoa; Chordata; Actinopteri; Cyprinodontiformes; Poeciliidae.